CAAAAACAUAUAUGAAUUAAAAACUAAAAAUAUAAUUCAAAGGCAUAGGCACUUAUUUCCUCUUUUAGGAACUCUCUAACAGGAAUGUUCUAAAGAAUACAACCUCGUAUGUCUGUGCGUGACUGACUAAUUGUAUAGAUAUAUAUGUGUGCAUAAAGAACUGUGAAGUCGGUGAACAUUUUCAAAAGAGUUGGGUGGCCUCGGAGGUCGGUCCUCGAGGCCAAACCAAAGAUGCGAGUGAAACAAUCGCCGCUCACUCGACCCCAUCGUCGCGGAAUCCGACGUGAAGUGGUUUUCGUUUACACGAGCUGUGAUCCGACGAAUUCCUCGUGUUCGCGGUGCACACAACAUGCAGGACGAACUAGAAAAAUAGCAGGCAUUCGCCACUCGCCCAGAUUCAAUCAACAAUUGCUAGCCUCGGCUCUACAUCGCGCUUUGCAGACGUGGGUACUGUGGGAUUCUCUUUUUUCUUUGUGCAUUUGUUUCACAUUUAUACUCGUCCCUAGGAGUGGUUAUGUCUCUUUGGAGCGUCUGAUACGAUGAUGUGAGUCUGCUCUGCCAUGACUGCUGGUUACCGAGCUCGAUGGGUACCCGGACCAGAACGUUCUCGUGCUUGUCAGCAUCAUGGAUGCAGCUGCAUUGUUACUGAAGGAGUCCUGGAGCAUCCACAUUUCUUGCUCUCCACACGUUGUACAUGUAUCCGGUGAGACCUCUAUUUAUUGUUGGAGUAGUGGUAGCAGGAACACUAGUGACCCGUAUUAAUGCGUAAUAGAGAUUGGUAGAAGCUGAGCAAGGAUGUGCGGCACGAGAAGAGCAACGUUAUGUGGAGUAUCAGGGGUCCAGGAUCAUGAGAGUUAAUGAAGGGAUGGAUUGGAUGGAUUGUCAAGGAAGUGUGUGAGAGGGGGGUAUUUUUUAGAGUAAUUUUUUUUUUCUGAAGAAGAGGAAGAAGCAACGAGGGGCAGACCUUUCAUCAGUGCAUUUAGCUGCAAGGGGUGAAUUCAAGUUUAUGGUUAGUAAGGUAGUUUCACACCGAAAUGGAUGGUAAAGACCUGCGAGUGUUGCGAGAAGAGGAUUUUAUGGGUUGCACUAGCUUAGCUGGAAUAUUUGGUGAAACUCGUGGAGCAUCCUGGCAUCGGAUUGAUGGAGGCAUCACGAUUGUAAUUGGCUUACUAUUAUAAACAGAUCCGUGUCCUGCGAGAGAAAUUUGUGACUCAUGCGUAGCAGAAUACGCGAACUUUUUGAAGUGAGCAGGCUACAGAUAUUGGCAUCAUGGAUUCCAGGCUGGCUGUUCUUGUUCUGCUCUGUUCACAAUACUGGCAAACCACUUCAAUUGCUGCCAUGAUGUGGGACGAUUAGAGGAGCUAACCUAAUGCCAUAUCCAAACAGCACACACAAAGGUACGCUUGCAAGGAAUUCUAAGAUGGAAAUGGGGGUUGGAUAAGGGGCCAAGACUGAUCCUUGCCAGCUGGGAUGAGCCAAUUUUGGUACCAAUGAAGAAAAUUAUUCUCCGCUUAUGCUCUAAAUAUUCAUGGAAACAUGUUCAUCAUGUUGCACAUUUUAUCCUUAAUGAAAUGUGAAGUCUGAAGCAGUUGCGAUUAGGCAUGUAGCCGUGCGUGCAGUGUGAUACUGUUCCUCCGUCUUCUUUCUUAUAGAGAAACAAAAGAUCUACAAAUGUCUCAUCCCGUAGUUUGUUCACUAUUAUGUGGUACGUAUAUGAUCCUCAGGCAAGCCCUAGUCCCUUGCCUUUCCCAUCAGAGUCGUCACCAUUCUGUGCCUGACUAUUUUUUGACCUUGCACAGUAUAAUGUGUUUGGAGUCUGAUUUUCUCAGCCUUAGCAUGUGCAGUUAAUUGGAAAAGGAUUUGCGAAGAUCAAGGUCUGACUCCAUUUCUUGCAGACUACACACUAAAUUUCCCCCUUUUGUGAUUUGUUAGGUUGGUGAGAUGGGCAAGGUUUCGAAGUGGUUGUUAUUAGAACUGGUUGAAUUGACCUGGAUCGCCUGAUUCCUUGCACUGCCCUACAUGCAAACAAAUUGAUCAUUUUGAGGCCAUUGUGGUCGUGAUGAUUAUCUAGCUUCUGGCAAGAUCUUUCAACGAGGUUUCGUUUUUAAUCAUUCGUGCUGCUCAGAGUUACCAAAGAAAUCGAGAGUUCGCUUGCACCAAUGAGCAAAGACAGUUCUCAUUAUAAAUUGUGGUUUGCUGCUCCCAGUGCGAGCAUGGUUAUAGUUGGCAGAUCCUGAGGCUUCUAUAUCGGCUGAGAGACGCAGACUUCGCUUUCUAGCCAAUGUGGAACACAUUGACGUUGGGAUUGCCAUCAAUGGCAUUAACUGCUACACAAUUCUCGACGAGAGCUUCUUUGAGCUACCCCUUGCCACAAGUUUGCUUUGAUUCGUUGAAGUGGAAUGCAUGCAUGCGCUUGGUUAUCUUAAAAGCAAUUACUAUCUCGCAGAAUCUGUCUGAAAUCAUCCAAUUUGUACCUUUUCAGCUUCUAUGUCAUUCCACUAGAAUUAUAUCACACAAAGCUAGACAGGUGAAAAAAUGAAUGUGGGUAUUUUCAGUGAUGAUAAAUGAAGGUCUUCUGAGAAUGUUUGUCACAGUUUCACUUGACUGCACAUAGAGAUCUUGCUAGGAGAACUGUAGGAUGAGACAGUAUUUGUUGUCUUUUAAGACUCUCACAGGCUGUGAAACCAUGAUGAACUUCUAGGCCAUAGGUCUUUGGCUUGUAAUGUUUCUAGGGCAAGUUGUCUUCCUCAAAUACUGCAUCUACAUGGCUUUAGAAAUUGGGUUGGUGGAGGCUGUGGUGAUAUGUGCUGAUCUGCCAUAAGCUUGCAAUGAGCCCUUCCCAAGUGUUGAAAACUUUUGACAUUUAGUCUAAACUCCAUGUGUGUAAACAGAGUCUUAGAGUAUGUGAAUUUUAUACCAGAAGACAUAGACUAGCACCUUUGUAAAAUAAGUUUGAAACUCAAGUGGGUGAAUAAACAAUGUUGUUUGGAUUAUCA
This is a non-coding RNA of Physcomitrium patens, 2996 nucleotides long. Lineage: Eukaryota; Viridiplantae; Streptophyta; Bryopsida; Funariales; Funariaceae. The record is from RefSeq and is a predicted model, not a curated record.